CCGGCUGUUCUACGGAUCCCGUUGAGUUCCUCGCAAUUCCGCUUAGAUGUGCUUGCUGUAUUUGGUUCUGUUCUCUGUUCUUCUUUUGGAUCUCUAGCGUUGCAGAUCACCGGGAGAUGAUCUUCCGCUUGCAAAGCAGAUAGCUGGCAAGACCAUGGAGGUCUCUGGCGCUCUUCGUCGUCUCGGUUUGGUCUGUUUUCUCGGCUUAUUCUCCGCCCUUGAACUUUCUUGCGUAGUCCGCAGAUGCCUCUUGUGUGAUAUGCUGCUUUUUCAUGACGUCCAUCGUGGUUUCUUGCUGAUUCGUCUAUAUAUCGGUACGUUCUUCCCUUCUUCUAAUCUUUCCCUGUGGGAUAUCAUAGUUUCAACUCCAAGCUGCGUGAGGCGGUAACGAGGAUGUGUAUGUUCGAUACCGGUCGACUUUGUUCUCUGGCGAAGUAGGUUCGCUGCCAAAGGCCUAUAUCCUAUUUCUUGCUUUCUUCCAUGGAAGAUCGGAUGUGGUGCUGAUCUUAUCCAAGGACGCGUCCGAGAAGCAAAUAGUGUUCGAUGACCAUUAGAUUAAGUGCAACGAAACUAGACUGGGGAUCUUGAUGGAUGGGGGAAGGUAAUUUGGACCUAUACAUGUUCUAUAGACCUUUGCCAUGUUGGGUGCGCUCGCAUGGCAGGUCGCUCAUCGUUAAUAAAAUUUUCCUUUUCUUGUGUGGGAGGAGAGAUCGCACGGGGGUAAUUAUUUUCAGCCCCGGGUUCUCUCCUCGUGUGCUGUGUCUUUACUCUCUGCCAUUUCCAUCUAUCUACCAAUCACACUCCUGUAGUUUCCAUCGCCGUUUAAUCCUCAUGACCACCUGGGAUGCAAGCUUCGUGGCCAUUUCUCCAAAUCAGUGAGGUAUAGAUAGUCUUCCCCUUUGUUCUUCGCAAAUCAGAUUAAAUGUCAAAUUCUUUACUACUAAUUUCGUGCACCUAUAACUGCCACAAAUUCUGAUUAUCGGAUAUCAUUUCAAUUUAUUAUAUGCCAAUUUUUCAUUGGAAUCAAUUUUGCAAUUUAUUUGUGCUAUCUUAUAGUUGUCAAUAGGGAAAUGCCUGUAAAUAUGUUGAUAUAGUAUAUGCAUCUAUAUAUGCAAGCUUCAUUUAAUUUAACUGCCUAUUAUUUCUGCCACAAUUAUUUACUCAUUUGUUUCUCCUUCAGGGCAACCACAAAGAACAAAAAAACAUUGAUGCUUACUAAGGUUGCAUGGUAUUAUUAUUUUCACAAAAUUUACAUGUUACGGCGGUGACCAUUGUGAGGUUUUCAAUCUUGUGAUGUGUGGAAUUUGGUCGUUAAAUUUUCAGUGUUAUGUUGUUGUUAACUAUCGUGAUAUUUCUCUUAUGCUGUCAAAGUGAAUAAUUGAAUCAACUAUGUCCGUGAUUUGGACAUACACUAUGUACGUGCUCAGCCUGCUCUUAAAAUCUGAGUGAACGAUGGUAUCACGGCAUCGUCUUGAAAUUUCUUCCUUGGGACUUUUUGACUUGGUUACAACUACUCUUAAGUCUGUCUGUUUGUCUUCUUUUUUAUGGUUCUAUUUAUUCGGUGAGGCUGUCAUGUGAUUGGUUCAAAAAUAUGCCAAAGCCUCUUUAAAACUAGUUGCUGCAGAAUUAGUAGCGGUAUAAAUUCCGUGACGCACCCAUGCCGUACUCCUGAUCUUUUGCUGUUGAUGUGGAUGCUGGGAAGCCUGUUGCUAUGCGGUUUGCCGAGGCAGCAGCUCACUGCUCCCUGUGCGCUGCCGUGACGGCGGAGUGCGAGGUCGGAAUCUGUCUCCCUAAGCUUUAGUUGACAAGGUAAUGAAUGGUGUUUGUACUUUCAUAAUAUAGCUCCACUAGUUUCAACUAGUAUCAUUAUUAUUAGAAAUUCGUCCUCUCAUUUUGUGAAAGACUUUUUUGCAACUGAAAUUUCUUUCUUUUUUUUUAAGAUUCUUUAGAGUAUCUGUUCGUUAUUUGACCAGAUAAGGCUGAAUUGAAUACAGAUAUUGUUAAUUGUAGAGUAAAUAUUCUUUGAUUUAAAAAUUAGGAUGUUCAAUUCCAUUUCGAAUUUUGUAUAAUUUGUCAUGUGGUGGCAGCUGAAGCUGCUGCGGGGGUGUGCGAACCAGGAAGCAACCAAAAGACUUAUGGCGUGAAAUAUCAUCCACGUUUGAGUGACACGUCAAAGUCUGGAGGAGCUUCGGAGUAGUUCCCUUUGUUGAGCGAAACACAAGUUGCAAUGUGAAACCACUGUACAAUACUCCAAAAACACCACCAGCAACUGACAAAAUUACACGAGAAAAGAAUCACAGCCCA
Molecule: long non-coding RNA, 2304 nt
Organism: Musa acuminata AAA Group (dessert banana)
Lineage: Eukaryota; Viridiplantae; Streptophyta; Magnoliopsida; Zingiberales; Musaceae
Exons: 3
Source: RefSeq, a predicted model, not a curated record